CCUACGGGUGGCAGCAGUGAGGAAUAUUGGUCAAUGGACGAGAGUCUGAACCAGCCAAGUAGCGUGAAGGAUGACUGCCCUAUGGGUUGUAAACUUCUUUUGUAUGGGAAUAAAAUGUUCCACGUGUGGGAUUUUGUAUGUACCUUAUGAAUAAGGAUCGGCUAACUCCGUGCCAGCAGCCGCGGUAAUACGGAGGAUCCGAGCGUUAUCCGGAUUUAUUGGGUUUAAAGGGAGCGUAGGUGGAUUGUUAAGUCAGUUGUGAAAGGUUGCGGCUCAACCGUAAAAUUGCAGUUGAAACUGGCAGUCUUGAGUACAGUAGAGGUGGGCGGAAUUCGUGGUGUAGCGGUGAAAUGCUUAGAGAUGACGAAGAACUCCGAUUGCGAAGGCAGUUCACUGG
RNAcentral lists this ribosomal RNA (397 nucleotides) under uncultured bacterium. RNAcentral describes it as "partial 16S ribosomal RNA". It matches the Rfam family "Bacterial small subunit ribosomal RNA", at positions 338 to 732 of the family's 1533-position model. The record is from RNAcentral.